CGGACAGCUAGUCUACGGAGGAGCGGAAAUUUCUUGGAAUUUCCGAGUUAAAAGAAGCUCCUUCUCCCUUAAAAAGUAAACUAUGACGCAUGCGCAACAAAACCGUUUAUGAUGAUCACUAACACACAUGUACGUAUUCGUGAUAUCCAUGUGUGUAAUCAAAGCGGUUAGAUAUUUGUACGCAUAUUUUUUAUAAUUACGAUUAUAAAAAUAUACAUUAAAAAUACAUUUUAGUUAUUUCAUUGUUAUUAUUAUUUUUAGUGAUAUCGAUUAUUAGUGUAACAAGUGUAAAAAAAAAUGGGGAAGCCUACUAUUACUCAAUCUGAUACAGAUGUAAAAAAGAAAAAUAAAUCCAAUAAAGUUUGCAAAAAUUUUCCGAUUAAAUAUAAGUUGGAAAUAAUCAACCGUUUAAAACGUGAACCUCUUUCUGAGGUUUUAAAAGAUGUUGAUGUUAAACCUAAAACCGUAAAAUCCUGGGAACAAAAUCGUAAACAACUUGAAGAAGCUUUGGAAGGAAAUAUAAUUCGGCAUAAACGUAGACGUGAUCCAAAAAAUGCAGUGCUUGAUGAAGCAGUGUACAUUUGGCUAUCACAAUUAAGAAAAACAGGUGUCCCUGUAUCAGGAGUCAUCUUGAAGCAACGAGCUCUCGACUUACAUCAAAAUAUGAAUUGUGAAACCAAGUUUACAGCUAGUGAAGGUUGGUUACGAAACUUUAAAAAGAGAUAUAAUAUAAAACGACGUACUAUUGGUGGUGAAAAGUUGUCAGGAGAUGAAGAAGCUGCCAAAAAAUUUGUAACCAAGUUUAAAGAUGACGUUGAAUCUAAAGGGAUGUCAAGAAAACAAGUUUUUAAUUUUGAUGAAAGUCCGUUAAAUUUUAAAUCACUUUCUACUGUGACAUUCAGUACAAAAGAAGAAUCUGAAGUAAGUGGCUUUAAAAAAAACAAAGAUCGCUUAACAAUUACUGCUUGCUGUAAUGCAGAUGGUACAUUUAAAUUACCAUUAAUUGUAAUUAGUAAAGCCAAGAACCCGAGGGCUUUAAAAGGUAUUUCAAAAGAUCAAUUACCCGUGUACUACAGACAUCAACAAAACGCAUGGAUGAGCACUCAAAUAUUUGAAGAAUGGUUUAGAAAAGAAUUCGUGCCAAAAGUUACUGAAUAUUUAAUAAACGAAAAACUGCCCGUGAAAGCUGUCCUUCUAGUUGAUAACUGUAAAGCUCAUCCUUAUUUGAGAGUCAAUAAUAUUGAGACUGUUUUCUUGCUACCAAAUGUUACGGCAUUAAUACAGCCUCUAGAUCAAGGAAUACUUGAAGCAAUCAAACGACGAUACAAGUAUAUUCUCACUGUGGCAUUAGCGAGUAAACAACAAGAUAAUGUUAAACUACCUCCUCUAUUGAAAGAUGUUACAAUCAAAGAGGUCAUUUAUUGGGUGAGCCAAUCUUGGGAAGCUGAGAAACGUGAAACAAUUCACAAAUGCUGAAAUAAAUUAUGGCCUGCUGAUCUUCAAACAGAAAAUAUAUUAAAAUCUCCUGAAGUUGAUGGCUCAGAAACUAUAAAUACUGAUAGAGUUAUUUGUCCAGUUGAAAAAAAUAUGAGCGAUGAAAAACUAACGUGUGAAGAUGUGUUAGAAGUUUUGAAAAAAAUCUAGGGUUAUGAAAAUAUUGAUCUAGAGUUUGUGAAGGACUGGAUGAAACAAAAUGAUGAAGAAUGGGAUAUUGAUGUGAUAUUAAUUUAAUUUUUUAUUUUGAUUUAGCGUCUAUUUGUCCUGAUGAUUUAAUAAUUUAACCUAACGGCGAUUAAUUACUGACUGAUAAUUACAUAAAAAUUUGUAUCUUUUGCUUUUAUUUUUAUUUUCAUUUUUAUCUUUUCUUUCUUUUUCUUUUUUUCUUUUAAGAAUUUGAAAGAUCCCUUACUGACCAAGAAAUCAUAAAUCUUGCGAAGAACCACUGUAAUAGAAGAGAUGAGGAUAGUGAGAAUUUGGAUAACGCGAGUAAAAGUGAAUUGGUACAAAAAAAAACAGUAUCUGGGUCAGAAGCUUUAAACGCCGUUGACAAACUCAUAGAAUUUUCAAAUGAUUUUAAAAUUUCUCCCAACACGUUAGUUCAUCUACAUCAAUUAAAAACUGACAUUAUGUCUUGGAUGGUAUUAAAUUCCAAGUAAUGUUUUUCCUAAACUUUAUAUUUUUUUUUAUGUUUAAUUAUAUUUUUAAUAUGAUCUCAUUUAUGUACCAAUAAUAUGUGAUACGUAGUAUAAAGCCAUUAAUUGAGCUGUGAAUUCUUAAAUGUAAAGUUAAAACUAAAUUCAUAUAAUUUCAAUAAAUAAAAAAAAAAAAAAAUUAUUUUACUUUGUCGUUUUAAAAAAUUAGACAGGUUAUGUGAGGAGAGUCACAUGAAUGAUGCACCUACACAUACAAAUGUAUGGUAUCGGGUGGGGGACCGCGUAGCUCGUAGUGGGGGUCAAAAUUGAGGAGAAGUUUCGAGUUAAUGGAAGUCGAGUUAUUGGAGUUUGACUGUAAUUUGUAAAGUGAGCAGCUUAGAAAUAGAUCGAAAAUUAUUUCUUUUAAUUAUUAUAGCUCGAUAACAAAACGGUGAGGUGCUACUUUUAUAUUUUUAACUUAUUCUAAAAACAUUUUUUAACACUCUACUACUUUUUUUCCAAUUCUGUUGAGAGAAUUUUUUAAUAUAAUAAAAAAUAGUUAGAGAGACCGAACAUUUUACAUACUUUAAAUGGGACAUGACCCUCAAAAUCGUGAAUUUCGCCUUCAAAUAUCUCGCGAUCUAAACGGUCAAAAAUUAUGAAAUUUCAGGAAUUCAUAAAUAAAGCUAUUCUAAACGUGUGAAAAAAAUUUCAGCCGAAUCUGUCGAAAAGUGGUUUCAUGCUGGAACUAUCUUAAGAGAGUCGAGUUUCCAUCGGAUUUUAAAGGGCUCAAAAACGAAUAAUGAUGUUUUGGAACUAUGCGAUAUCAAAAAUAGCUCGAAGAGUUUAAAUAUUUUUAAAAUAUCAAUUUUCUUUAUGCUUAUCCUUGGAUACAAUAUAAUCAUGCGUUUAACUUGCAAACAUCAAUUAUCGAUAAAGAUAAUUACUGUAAUUGUAGUUUAUUGCGAAUAAUACCAAUAAAUGAGCAAGUGAGUUUCAGUACUAACAAAGUAUAAAAUAAUUUUUUUGUGACAAUAUUUCUCAUCAUUACUCCUGACAAUUGUCAGUUUUCAUUUGUUUAUAUAUUAAUAUAUAAAAAAAUGAAAACUUUAACAAUAAUCGCAAUAGUAAAUUUAGAGAUUUAUCUAUUGAGUGCACAAUUGGGUACUCAAGUCAAUCAAAAUGAGGAUUGCGAUCUUCAGACAGCAGCCUCUAUGGGGGCAAGUGCAUCUAGUGAGGGAGCAAAUGUAGAAGUUGAAGGACAGGCAAAUUUACCUUCAUGCGAAUGUCUGAGGCGUAAAGAUAUCCAAGGCUCUGUUAGCGUUUCUACAAACGGUAUAAAUGCAAAGGGGGGCGUCUCUCAAUCUGGUUCGGUUAUUAUCCCCGGGGUUAACUGCAUGGAAACAGAGACUUCCAAAGAUGGAACAGACCAAGGAUAUAAGUAUAUUGUAGACAUUGAACGAACUGAUUUAAUCACGCCUGGUAACAUCUAUUUAUAUACACAUUACGAUAAAGAUAACGAUUCAUAUGGUGAAUAUUAUGAAACUAUGGAGACAGGAAAUGACCUCAAAAUAUACUUAGCCAAGAUAACCGCGAAUGAUGAUGUUGUUUACGAAUCAACGGAUGGUGAUAAAAUGAAACCUGCGUGCGAUCAUUCAUAUCCUGAGAAAACUCCUGAAGCCAAUGUUUGGAAAAUUAUAAAUUUGCUUGUUAUGGACGGCCAAGAAUGCCCAAUACCAGAAGGGACAAAUUAUACUCUUCCUAUUAAGAUGUCAUCAGUAGAACUUUCGUUCAAUGAACCAAUACCAUGCGGUGAAUAUUUGUUAAAUCUCUAUUUAGACUCGCCGAAGGAUAAGUUUGUACUGGGAGUUCAUCUAAAAUGGAACAUUGAAAAGGGUUCAACUGAGUGCACAGAUGAGGCUCAUCAACUUUAAUAAUUAUUCAUUAUUGUAAUGUUUACUAUUCACAAUGAAAAUAAAACAUCGUGGAAACACUAA
This is an RNA transcript of Microplitis mediator, 4129 nucleotides long. RefSeq lists it as uncharacterized. The transcript is spliced from 6 exons. Lineage: Eukaryota; Metazoa; Arthropoda; Insecta; Hymenoptera; Braconidae. The record is from RefSeq and is a predicted model, not a curated record.